CGCCGAUGGCAGAUGAUCGCUGGUGAGCCAGAGUGGCUUGCUGGAGGAAAGUCCGAACACCAUACGGCGACAUGCCGCGUAAAAUACGCGGGUGCUGCAGUUGUAAAAUUGCGGCGACGGAAAGUGUCACAGAAAAGACACCGCCGGUUCUUUGGCAACAAAGGCACAGGUAAGGUUGAAAAGGCGAGGUAAGAGCUCACCGCUCGCGGAGCAAUUCGCGAGGCAGGAAAAACCCCAUGCGGUGCAAGACAAAACAGAGGGAGGGCAGCCGGCCCGUUGAUCCUCGGGUAUCGUCGCAUCACGAUGC
RNAcentral lists this RNase P RNA (307 nucleotides) under Verrucomicrobiota bacterium. RNAcentral describes it as "Verrucomicrobia bacterium partial RNase P RNA component class A". It matches the Rfam family "Bacterial RNase P class A", at positions 1 to 289 of the family's 367-position model. From Rfam's summary of the family: Ribonuclease P (RNase P) is a ubiquitous endoribonuclease, found in archaea, bacteria and eukarya as well as chloroplasts and mitochondria. The record is from RNAcentral. Lineage: Bacteria; Pseudomonadati; Verrucomicrobiota.